RNAcentral lists this long non-coding RNA (4813 nucleotides) under Apis florea (little honeybee). RNAcentral's name for it is "uncharacterized LOC100868640, transcript variant X1". Lineage: Eukaryota; Metazoa; Arthropoda; Insecta; Hymenoptera; Apidae. The record is from RNAcentral.
UUUUUUCAAGAGAAAUUGAAAUAUCAACAUGGAUUACAUACCAUUGUCAAAUACUGUGUCAUCCAAAAUAUUCUGUUCCUCGUUUGGAAAAUAAUAAUUGUUCGAAGGAGAUGCCAUGUGAAUUUACAAACAGAUGAGAUUAUAAUACGUGAUACGAUUAUUUAUUAAAAUGUAUACAAAAGAUUAAAUUGAUUCAAUAAUUGGAAAUAUCGAUACAUAUUUAAAAACCAAUCUAAUACACACGAAUAACAAUAUUAGUGCAAAAUUAUUCUAUGGAAAAUAUGAAUUUUUUUCAAACUAAAAAUAUAAGCUUUGAUUACGUCGCAAUCUCGAUCUUACAUCAUAUUGAUAUUCGUAUCGGCUGUUUAUCGAUUGAAUCAUAUUCACUAGAUAAGUCUAAAAAGAAUUCAAUUCAAAAAUAGGAAAAGAAAAAAAGAAAAACAAGUCUGAAAAAUUUAAAAAUCAACACAUUCCACCAAAUUUUCCUUUCCCUCCUCCAAUAUCUUCCAUUUCUACACUGAUCGUACUUAUCUAUUACUCACGAUGCACUCGAAAAAAAAAAAAGAAAAAAUGAAUAGAAAAAUAUUCGUAAAAAUCGACAAUAAGAAUUUUGAAAUCCGUUUCAAAUGUAAAAGUUCAGAAAACAAAAAUUGACAGAUAUAGACAGUUAAUUUGGAUUACGAUGUGCUGUAAGCGACUCAAACGCAACGACUGAUCGACAAAACCAAAUUGUGCAGAUUAAAAUUCUACGCGUGAGUGAGUGGCCUCAUGAACGAGAUAGGAUUGACGUUGGAGAAACUCGUUGAUGACAAUGUUCGUUAAACGCGAGCACGUUCAAGGGAACACGAAUAAAAUAAAAAAAAAAAAUAUUAAAAGAAGAAUUUUCAUUGCAAUUAGAGACUCGUUUCUGGCAAAGCAAAAGUGCUUCGAGUUAUGGCUGAUAUUUGUAUUGAAUUAUUUUGUCACUCCAUAGACAGCUUUGAAAGUAUCACUUUGAUGCGAGGCAAAGAAUUAUAUAUUGGUGCUAAUAACAUUUUCCUUUGGCUGUUUUAAUAAUAUUUGCUUGAUAUAUAAAUAUAUACCGUUUGUGCCUAUUGUUUCAUUUUCUCAAAUUUGAAUGUCGAUUGGCUGAAGAAUUUAGAUUAUUAAAUGGAUCGAAAUGAAGUUAUCAUGGAGAUUAGUUUCCUUCUCAUAAUUGUAAAAAGCGUGUAGUUGUAAGAUAUUAGCGCUUGUAGAAUAAUUAAAUGGAAGCCUAUGUUUGAGUAAAUGUGAUCGAAAAUGUGUUCUUCGCUGGUUUUGGUAUGUAUAGAAAUCAAGAUGAUGUUUAUUCUUUUGAUGAAUUUAUAGAAGAAUUUCUAGAAGAAAAGGAAACAGUGUCUGAAUGAUCGAUCGGUUUCGACGUGGACCAAACAAAUCGUCGGAUGAUGUCGAUCGCCAGCUCGAUUCUGAUCGAGAUCCCGUUUCAACUUCGACUCUUGAUGCUUCCCAGAGAGAUUUACGCGCCGAGCUCGCCCGUUCCUCCUCCACUGCUUCACUUUUAUCGUUGUCUGCUAGUUUUCACUUGGGAAUAAUUAACGUCGCGACCGUUUGGAUUUCGAGAUGCGAAUUUGGAAUUCAUGGAUCGGUAAAUCGGUGUAAUGGUAUAUAAAUCUAUUGUCGAUCAGAAUUGAUGGAAAUGAGUUGUCGAGUUUUUGGUGGAAGAUGAAUUGUAAACGUGAUUUUGUAUAAGGGAUUACUUUUAUAACGACGAAAAAAAAGAAAUAUGAGUAUGUAGAAAGUGUAGAGGAAAGCAAACAUUUAUUUAAAUGUUAAAGAAAAAAGUUGUCACCGAAUUUCCAGAUCGAAAGUAAAGCCAUCUAUAAAAAUUCAUUCUGAUUCAUCUCUGAUUGAAAUUUGAGAAAGAUUUUGUUCUACUGAGAAGUGUUAAAAUUAAAAUUAUAAAUUAUAAUAACAAAAAUUCUUUGAAAAUUCGAUAUAAAGCCUGUCCAAUCGAAAUUCGAAUCAUUGUUGAGAUUUUAAAAACCAGAUUCUAAAUCAAAGUACAAAUUUCUCGAAAAUCCUAUAAUAAUUUAAAAUUCGAAACACAGUUUUUAAAAAAUCAAAAUUAAAUACCUGAACCUUACUGAAAUCAUCGAUUCAGAAUUUGAAAUAUUCAAUUUGAAAUAUUCAAUUCAGAUAUCCAAAUUAAAAAACGAUAAAUCUAUGAAUACUAUAAAUACAUACAAACACCAUCAUACAUACAAUACCAAUCAAAAUGAGUUUUCAAACCUGGAUAAACAACAGUUUACGAACAGAAACAACUAUUUUUUAAAAAUUCCAUAAAAUAAUCACCGAAUCGUUAAAAAAAAAAUUCACAUCUCUAAAAUCAAAAUUACAGCAACAAUUUUUCCAAAAAUUUUUCUCGUACACAAUCUACACUCGAUUACUCGAUUGCGUGUACACGACAAAAUAGUUCAACAUGAUGACGAUUGACUGACUACGGAAUCACGAUUAUCAUCGACGAUCCUCGAGUCGAUCGAUCGAGGAUCCAUUGUUAGGCAACGCGAUGUCCCGAGAUAUGUGCCACGUUUUAAUAAAGCUAGACCCAGUUGCAGAAGGCAUGAUGGCCUCGAAUCCACUGACUUUUCGAUACGAGAAGGGGGAUCAUAUGGAUCGGGAUGCUUGAACCCCUCUUUUUCUCGAUCGUCUAGCCAAAUAUUUUGUUUGCUGUUUGCAAUUGCGUCGAUGGAUUACGUGACGCCUGAUUUAUUCGUUUAUUAGAGAGUUUUGAUGAGCAAGAGAAGAAACAUAUUUUUUGGCAAAUAUAUCCUCCAGAUAAAAACAAAAAUCUAUUAGAGAUAAUUCAGAAAAUAUUGUACCCACGAUUAUUGUAUAUUGUAUAUUGUAUAUUGGAUCAUAUUGUAUAUUGAGUUUAGAUGGUAGAUUAUCAUAGUAUAUGUUGGAAAACGACCAGUAUCACACCUGUGGAAGAUUUAAAUGCAAGAGAAGCGAAGGCCUCCUAAAAACUUCUGACUGAUUCGUAAGAAUAUCUUUUAUUGAUGUUGCUCAAACAGAUUUUGCUACCUUUGUUUAAAAGAAAAUCAAAGCACGUUGUUUAUCUUUUGUAUCGCAAAAAAAAUAAAUAAAUCACGUAAUCCUAGCCAGGGAUCCUAGCCAACACUGUGAGCAGGUGAGAUAGAUGAAUUUGGCUAGAGCAAACCUACUUUUAUAAAUUAUUAGUAUACAGUAAUAAAGAAGGAAAAUAUUAGUAUUUGAUCCCUUCAAAUCGAAUAAAAUCCUAUCCAACUGGCCAGUAUUAUGAGUAUACAUAUAAAAAGUUUCUUGGUAGCUUGAAAAUUAAUAUAAGUGUAUGUUUUAAAAAAUAUGUGUAGGCUAAAAAUUAGUAGAAUUAAUUAAAUGAAAUAGAUCAUUAAAACGAGCCUUUUAGUGAAAUUACUUGAAAGACAAAUGUUUAUUUAAUUAUUGAUGGCGAUAUCGAAUAAGUAAAUAGUGAUGAAAAUACAGAUUUAUUAAUAAGAUUCAUUGCGAUGAUGUUUCAGUAACUAGUGUAGGUUCUUUAACUGAGCAAUGUUUUCUAAAUUUUUUUUUUAUCAACAAACUUUUUAUCAAAAAUGUUUUAAAAUCUGAAAUGAAAUGAUUAAGAAGGAAAAGUAAAAGAAAAGAAAAAAAAAAAAUAAUAAAAUUAAAAUUACUUCAAUAGUAUUCAAUAAUUCAUAAUUUGAUCGUAUUUGUCUAAUUGAGAAAACAGAAUGGAAUGUUUAUGAUAGCAAAACAAUAAUAUAGAUAGAAUAAUGAUAGAAAUAGUAGCAUAAGACAAUGUGAAUACGUUCGCAAUUCGAUACUGAACAACACGUUAUGAAACAUUCAAUGGAAUCUCCUUGAAGGUAUUAUUCGAUUUGAAAGGCUAAUACUGCACACUGUUCGAAUGGCGAAUAGCAAUUGCACAUCACGGCCUGGUUAGUUUAGCUUGCAAAAGCUACAAAAAAAAUCCUAAAUGCAAAACGUAUUCGAUUAAGUAUUUUAACACGUAGCGAAGAGAAAAGAAAAAGUUGAUACGAUUUUUUUUAAACUUGAAAUCUUUUAGUCUGCUUUAGUUUUCGAAUCUUUAGUAACGAAAAAGUUCAUAUUUUCAUUUUUUUCUCUUUCAAAAAGUUUACAGAAAAAAAAUAAUAUUCGCACAAAAUAAAAACUAUAUAAUCAAAUAUUAUUAAUAAAGCCAUAGAUCGAUGCAUAACAAUUUUCAUAGAAUUCCAAAAAAAAAAAAACUAAAUUUGCUCAAUUUAAUUUAAUAUAUACAAUUUAACGUCCAACAAAAUUCAUAUCAAAACAAAAUAUACAAAUAAAUUUUUAUCAUUAAUAAUAACUGAAAAUUUUAAAAAACAAAAAUCAACUAUUCGAGAAUUUUUUAUGUUAAAUUUGAAAGAAAAUUAAUUCAAAGGAAGGAGAUUUUAUGCUCGAUAAAAGUCAAAUAAAAUUACCGAAUAUUUAAAAUUUGCGCGUAGCAAAUAUCAAGAUUAUUCGACCAAUUGUUAUUGCAAGUUUACUCAGCGGUCGCGCAAAGCGAUUAUUUAUACAGGGGCGCUUUAAUUUUCUCGACGGAAAUUAUCUUUGCCUGUGAGCUCAUCGUAAAUGCAUUUCUAAUUGUCUCGCUCGUUGCAACUUCAUCGUGGAAUCUAUAUCUUGCAUAUGACGUUUAAAUUUUAUAUACCACACCUCUCCAGAUGCGUAUAUACGGCUGAAGUAACUGUUAUUCACGGGUUCAAAAUAAACUCCCUAUAUUUUAGCAAGCUUUUGCAAAUUUGAAGGAAAUUUG